AGUACAGGCUCACCUGCUGCAGACACAGCCGCACUACAUCUGUCAGCUCCUGGGACUCCUGGAAGUACAGGCUCACCUGCUGCAGACACAGCCGCACUACAUCUGUCAGCUCCGGGGACUCCUGGGAGUACAGGCUCACCUGCUGCAGACACAGCCGCACUACAUCUGUCAGCUCCUGGGAGUACAGGCUCACCUGCUGCAGACACAGCCGCACUACAUCUGUCAGCUCCGGGGAGUACAGGCUCACCUGCUGCAGACACAGCCGCACUACAUCUGUCAGCUCCGGGGAGUACAGGCUCACCUGCUGCAGACACAGCCGCACUACAUAUGUCAGCUUCGGGGAGU
Long non-coding RNA from Bufo bufo (common toad), 345 nucleotides. RefSeq lists it as uncharacterized. The transcript is spliced from 3 exons. The record is from RefSeq and is a predicted model, not a curated record. NCBI's taxonomy places the organism in Eukaryota, Metazoa, Chordata, Amphibia, Anura, Bufonidae.